RNAcentral lists this long non-coding RNA (14917 nucleotides) under Brassica napus (rape). RNAcentral describes it as "long non-coding RNA (BNAP_LNC002759)". The record is from RNAcentral. Lineage: Eukaryota; Viridiplantae; Streptophyta; Magnoliopsida; Brassicales; Brassicaceae.
CACGAUAUACAAACAAACAAAGAGAUAUUUCAUAUGAUACUAUUAUUUAGAAAAAGUUUGUUUUAAAAAAAUUAUGUAUAGAACAUACUUAAUAAAUAAAAAAUGAGAUAGAUAAACUUACUUCUUUCGAGAGAUGAGCAUAGAACAAAGCAGAGAGUGGUGUCUGCUCUGCUGGCUUGACCACCAUGGUGCAACCAGCAGCUAAAGCCGGAGCCACUUUCAUGGCAAACAUAAUGCUUGGAAAAUUCCAAGGGAUGAUGUGGCCGACCACUCCAAUAGGUUCUUUAAGUGUGUAUCCGAACAAAGACGGACGUGUCAUUCGAAGUGUCUCGCCGUGGAUUUUAUCCGCCGCACCCGCAUAGUACCGGAAAUGUCCGGCUGCAGCCGGAAUGUCAUUCAUUUUUCCCACUUGGAACAAUUUUCCGCCGUCAACCGCAUCAAGAGCAGCCAAUUCUUCAAUAUUCUGCUGUAUUAAGUCUGUAUAUUUGUUGAUAAUCCUUGCCCUCUCCUGAUCCGAUUAAAAUCACCGAAGCAUACAAUUAUAAACGACCUUAUCAAAAUUAGUUUAUUACACAUAAAACUAAAUUUGUAUAUAUACAUGGAAAAUUAAAAUAUGAUCAUAAUUAAUAUGAAUCAAUCUAUUUAUCAUCAUUUAGUUUUAGGUUGAAAAUUCAUCUAAUUUAAUAAUACAAACAACCUUAUCAAAACAAGAUUGUUAUAAAAUAUAAGUAAACUUAGAUAGAGUUUUCUGAAUAUGGGUAAACGUUUUUCUUAAUAACAUGAAAAUGACUUCGUGACACUAACAGCAAAAAUAAGUCAAAUCUGGACUCGUUCCCUAUACUGUAAAAAAUACACGAAUCAGUAUGGAUAUAUACUAAGAUACAACCCUAAUAAAUACAUAUUUAUUAGUGACCCACUACGUAUGGGACCACAUCAAUCAAUAAAUAUCAAUUAUUUUUUAUUUUAUAUAUUAUUUAUCAAUAAUUUGCUAACCAAAUUAAAAACGGGUAGGUACAAUAAAAAACAUGAGGUGAGAAAGAUAGGAACGUACGAAGCCAGUCAUUCGAGGCCAAGGACCAUGAUCGAAGGCGUGACGUGCAGCGUUAACGGCCAAGUCAACGUCUUCUUUGUCUCCUGCUGCUAUUUUCGCGAUCACUUCACCGUUCCUUGGGUCUAUGGUUUCAAAGGUUUUACCUUUAAAGUUUAAACACAUUAAAACAAAAACUGAAUGAUCAAAUAUUAUGUUUCAGAAAAAGAUUAUGCCAAAUUAAAUCAACCAGUCGGUUCAAUAUUCAAUCACGAGUUUUUACAUCUUCGUUUACAUUGUUAAGAACAAUACUUUAGCAAUAAUAUUAGUAAAAAAAACUUCUAGAAAAGGUUGCACCAAAAAAAAAACUUCUAGAAAAGGAAGAAAAAUAUUAGAGAAGAAAAUUAUAAAUUUGGGCUGAGAAGAGAAAUAGUCAGGUGGGACCAUCAACCACUGGUGUUUGAUAGUAGAACAUGUUUCCAGUCAGGAUAGCUUUUGAUAUAGGUUGUCAGAAGAAAAAAUGUUUCUUCCAACAACUUAAUAGUCAUCCAAAUUAGCCACUGAACUUUUAGUUGUACAUAUUUUAGGGAUUGGUCUAGGCUCAUGAUUCGCAUCCAAUGAAACCAGAUCCGAAGGAUACCGAAACAAAACAUUGGUGUCAUCCCAAAAAUUGAAGUGUUUAACAUGCAUAUAUUACCUGGUUCUCAAAAUAUCAAAAAUAUCUGUGUGGAUUAUACGUAUCCUAAAUCAUAAUUGUUUCAAGUUUCAUAUAUUUCAGAACGAUCAAAACAUUUUCAAUCUUUUUGGGGAGACGUAAUUUGGUUAAAUGCACAGAGAAGAAUCUGAGGCAGGGAUUUAGAUAGUCAAAGCCAAAAUCAGAAAAUAGGAAGGAUCUUGAUACAUAUUUUCUUCUGUUAAUGUCAACGUUUUGGAAUUGUGAGAUUAAGUAGAUAAGUAGUGAAAUUUAAAAACCUGAAGCAGCAUCAAGAAACUGGCCGUUAAUGAAAAGCUUGGUGAAUUUGAUCUCCGGUAACUUCGCCGUCGCGCCUCCGUUGCAUUUACCGUUCUCCAUCUUUCUCCUUUUUUUCUCUCUCUCUCUCUGUUCAGAGGACAAUAGAAGGACAGAGAGGUUAUGUAUGUAUUUAUAUCCAAGCCUCCCGUUUCACACGUCAGCAAGGCAAGUGAUUCAACAAAGUUUCGGAGCAUCAAUAUCCCAAAAACCCAAAUGGAAUGCUUAUUAUUAUUAUAAUCUUUUUUUUAGUUUUUAAUUAAAAAUAAAAUAAAAACAGAACCAAUCGUAGACCGCCACGUAUCGUGAGGUCUGCAAAACAGUACAAGAUACACCCAACAAAGUUUCUUAUUCUACGACUAUAAAGCAUGGUUUUUUCAAUAAUCGUGGGCCCCACCACGUAAGAAACGCUCAGCAUACUACGAUGCAGAUGCUCUUAAGGGUGAGGUUUUUCACAAAAUAAUAGACCCCACACCUACAUACACAUAUACAAUAUAUACUUAUACACAUAUGAAUUUUUAGAAUUCCAAUGGGUAAAAGCCCAGUAGUCUAAUAUACUAAACUGAAAAAGAAGGGGGGGAGAUAAAUUUUGACUGACCUAUCGUCUUGUUGAUGCAGAUAAAUAUUUAGACAUUAUCUAGUGUUUUUUUUUUCAGCAGACAUUAUUUGCUUACAUUAUUAUUAAGAAUACCAAUGUAAUUCUACUUAAGACUUAUUUAUUAUUACAACCAAUAUUUUUAAAUUCGAUCCGGACACUGAACCGGAUAAUUUUAUGGGUCACCAGGUUAUUGAAUCGAUCGCCGGCAAACCGGGGUGUAAUAAACUGAGAAGGGGGGGGGGAGGUGUAAUAAAUUUUUACCGAGCUAUCGUCUUGUUGAUUCAGGUAAAUAUUUGGACAUUAUCUAGUGUUUUUUUUUUCCAGCAGACAUUAUCUGCUUACAUUAUUAUUAAGAAUACCAAUUUCAUUCUAAUUAAGACUUAUUUAUUAUUACAACCAAUAUUUUUAAACUCGACCCGGACACUGAACCGGAUAAUUUUAUGGGUCACUAGGUUAUUGGAUCGAUUGCUGGCAAACCAGGAAUUAAUUAAUUAAUUAAUUUUUAUAUAAUAAUAUAUUAGCGAUUAAAAAUAUAAUAUAUACUUUAUGUAUCAAACAAAGUUUACAAACUACUUAACUUUAAUUUAUUUUUUUUCAAUUUUAUUUGAUAUAAAAAUAUCAGAAAAUAAUUUAGACUAAGUAACAAUUUUUGUAACAAGUUAAGAGUUAUGGAAUUUGAUAAAAAUAUGAAGACUUAAAAUUCAUAAGUAUUUAAAACAUGAGUGAUAAAAUUAUACUUUAAAUCCAAAAUAAACCAAAAGUAAAACAUCAAAUUGUAAUAGAUUAUUGAUAACAAAAAUAAACUAAUACCAAAUUACAUGAACUAUUUUAUUUCUCUCUCUAUCAUUGUUAACUUCAUUUUCUUCAAGUGACAUAGUUAAAUGUUCAUUAAAAUCUAAAAAUCACAAAUAAAUAGUUUAAUUAGUAUUAUAUAUGAUAAAAACUAAAAACUUAAAUUCUUAAUUAGAAUACAAAACAGAUUCUAGUAACCUAAAUUAAAAAAAAUCUAAGAAUAUAAAGUAAAAAUUACCUACUAAUUCAACCACUGGUUAAAUCGGUAGUCGGAUUCCGGAUUUUAAUGGUUUUUUAUGGGUUUUAUUGGUUUUUUAUGGUUUUUUUAUAAAACUCAAACCAAAUUAUACAUCGGAUCAUCGAGUUUACCAGUUAGACCGGUGGCGGUUCUUCGGCUAAACCGGAGUUCGGUUUAGCCUGUGGGGUUGAUUCGGGGGAGUUUGUGUUUAUGAACACUAAGGUUUAUUUGGAGAAGAGUAAUGGUUUUGAUGAGAUGAUGGAUAGUCCUGGUGAUUCGGAGGAGGAUGAUGAUGAGGAGGAGGAGGUUGAGUAUGAGAGGAGGAGGAAGAAGGGGGACGAUGCGGCGUCGUAUAAGCUCUUGGCGGAGUCGGUUGAGAGGUUUGGCAAGGUUUAUGAGAAGAUGGAGAGGAGUAAGAAGGAGCAGAUGAAGGAGUUGGAGAAGAUGAGAGGUGAGUUUCAGAGGGAUUUGGAGUUGCAGAAGAAACAGAUUGUGGAGAGAGCUCAGUCUGAGAUCGCUAGGCUACGUGAAGAAGAGGAGGAGAACGAGACUCAUCAUGAUGAUGAUGGUGGUGAGAGUGAAGAUGAGGGGAUGGACAAUGAUUCUGAUGUCAAUCUCAGUGAUUGAAUCAUUUAAUAACACUAGGUUUGUGUGUUUGUUUUAUUAGAUUCAAGAAAGAUUAUGUUUUUGUUUUUCGUCUUGGGGGAAUUCAGAAUUAUUAAGUUUCUGUAACUUUUGUUUGAUGGUUACAAGUUUUAUUGAUAUGGAUUAGUAAGGAUUAUUGUAAUAGCCAUGACAAGUCUCUCAAAUCCAUGCAUUGUUUUAUUUCCUCGUCAAGUCUCUCAAAUCCAUGCUGCUUCAAGCCUCACCAAGGAGUAAGUCAUUUGGAACAGGCAAUUGAUCAUCAUCAGCUGCAACUGCAAGUGGAUUCUAAAAGUAUUGGGCCAUUUGUUUCCUGAUUUUGAUUUGUAUUUUUUAUUCAAUAAAAGUAACGGCCUGGGCAUGCUUCUAGGAGAGAAAUUUAAAGCAAUUUCAAAAGAUCUCAGGACAUCGAGGCAGCUAUGAUGUGAAUUCAGGCUGUUUAGUGGCUCUUUCAGUAAGUAUUGUUCGAGCUUCAGUAUUCUCCACUCAUAUCUUGGUUAUGGUACAAGAUUAAUAACUUAAAGUUAGGUACAUGUCAAACCAUAUACCAAACUAAAUUCGUAUAGUUAUCAUUUACACAUUUAAUAGAAUCUAACGGGAACGGGAGGUGCGGAUGCUGGUGGAGUGAGAGAUAUACAUAGACAUUAGAAAUGUAGAUUUCUGAAAUAGCUAUAAGACUCCUUGACAUGCAAUUGGACACUAUAAUCAUUGUUAAACGGAGAUCCAGCUACACGUACUGAUAAAAUUUGUUGCAAAAAAAAAAAGAAGAAGCAAUUGUUGACAUCCUAAUCCGAAGAUCCUUACUGCUCGAAUAAGAUUUGCUAAAAAGGAGUGUACACGUUUGAACGAAAAAUCACUUGUACGAGACAAAUAAUAAACCUCUUUUGUUAACUAGUGUUUCAAAAAAUAACAAAACUCUUAUUGAUUUAGUAAAUGGACAAAAGAAAAACGUACUGUAAAAAAAAGAUCACACAUGCUUUUAUUAAUGAUUACGUUUGUAUUUUAACUAUGGACAAUUUGGCUACAUCCAAGGGGAGUUGUGAAGAGGCAUAGCAAUGGAUUUGACUUGAAGAUAGCUAUCGAGAGCGUCCAUGCCACUUUCACGACAAUUACCACUCAUCUUGUAGCCACCGUAAGGCGAGUCGAGGUCAAAUGCGAAGUAGCAGUUAACCCAAAUGACUCCAGCUUUGAUUGAUCUCGAAACCGUGUUGAUCACGUCAACGUUUUGGCUCACUAUUCCAGCUGCUAGACCGUAUUUCGUGUUGUUUGCGCAUUUGAUUCCUUCCUCCAUAGUCCUGUGGAAGCAAAUAUAUAUAGAGAUGUUUAGUGUUCUAUGGAAUGUGAUCAAGAAUGAGAAGAGAAAAUGGGGGAGUUUUCGUUUGCUUUACUUGAAUUUCAUCAAAGACAUAACUGGUCCAAAGAUUUCUUCUUUGUAUAUCUUCAUAUCGUCCUGUAACCAACAAAAAUAAAAACCCAUUAUUUAAAACAAACUUGUUACUAGGGACUUACGCGACAUUUCUGGUCCCGGUCCUAGUCCGAAGGAUUCAAGAAAUGUGUAAUAUUACCGUGACAUCUGCGAAUAUAGUUGGUUCGAUGUAGUAUCCUUUGUCUCCAAUAGCGUUCCCUCCAGUUAAUAACGUAGCUCCUUCGUUUUUGCCAUGCUCAAUGUAAGAGAGAACCUUCUCAUAUUGUUUUUUAUCCACCUGAAGACACCAAAAAAUAAUCAACUAAUAUAAUCUACUUAAAUCUACUCAUAAUCAAAGAUCAAUGAACUAGUCUAUUUUACUUGAGGUCCUUGUCGAGAAGUGGAAUCAAAAGGGUCACCAACGGGCCAGUCUUUAACCUUCUCCACCAUUUUCGCUACAACCUUAUCGUAUAUACCUUCUUGGACAAACACACGAGAGCUCGCCACGCAGAUCUCACCCUGCACAAUCCACCAAAUAUGUUUUACAUAACAAUGUCACAAUAUUGGUUGAUAUUUGGCCUCUAUGAUAUUAUACCUUGUUGUAGAAGCAACCUAGUAGCGCAAGUUCGGCGGCUUUGUUAACAUCUGCAUCAUCGAAAAUGAGAAGAGGCGAUUUUCCGCCUAAUUCAAGGGACACUUUUUUUAGAUUGCUUGUGGCUGCGGCUUGCAUUAUCUUCCUCCCAACAUCAGUUGAUCCCGUGAAACUAACCUGAGCACAAAAAAACAAAAGACAUGAAUUCACAUACAACUAACAAAAGCCCCAUUACUUGAUGAAUCCACAAACUAAUUAUCUCAUAAGACGAUAGUUAUUUUACUUUGUCAAUGUCCAUAUGAGAGGCAAUGGCAGCUCCAGCAGUUGACCCAAAUCCAGUCACCACGUUGAUCACGCCAUCAGGAAAUCCCGCCUGUGAAUUUUCAACAAAAAUAAAUACAAUGUUUAGAUAGUUAAGCUUUAAUUUCUUCGAUUGCCUACACGUUUGGCAUUACUAUGAACAAGCUAUAGUUGUGUGUUUACUUUUAAAAUGAUACCAAAGCUUUUAGUGUUUUAUGUGUAUGGAUUGUUUCUUUGUUUAUGUGUAUGGAUUGUUUCUUUGUUUAUAUUUGUUUAUGUGUAUGGAUUGUUUCUUUGUUUAUGUUAUAUAGUAUUAAGAGUAAACGUAUACGUAACCACAAUAUACAAAUUACAAACAAACAAACAAACAAAGCGAUAUUUUAUAUGAUUUUAGAAAAUGUUUGUUUUAAAAAAUUAUGUAUAGAACAACCACGAUAUACAAACAAACAAAGAGAUAUUUCAUAUGAUACUAUUAUUUAGAAAAAGUUUGUUUUAAAAAAAUUAUGUAUAGAACAUACUUAAUAAAUAAAAAAUGAGAUAGAUAAACUUACUUCUUUCGAGAGAUGAGCAUAGAACAAAGCAGAGAGUGGUGUCUGCUCUGCUGGCUUGACCACCAUGGUGCAACCAGCAGCUAAAGCCGGAGCCACUUUCAUGGCAAACAUAAUGCUUGGAAAAUUCCAAGGGAUGAUGUGGCCGACCACUCCAAUAGGUUCUUUAAGUGUGUAUCCGAACAAAGACGGACGUGUCAUUCGAAGUGUCUCGCCGUGGAUUUUAUCCGCCGCACCCGCAUAGUACCGGAAAUGUCCGGCUGCAGCCGGAAUGUCAUUCAUUUUUCCCACUUGGAACAAUUUUCCGCCGUCAACCGCAUCAAGAGCAGCCAAUUCUUCAAUAUUCUGCUGUAUUAAGUCUGUAUAUUUGUUGAUAAUCCUUGCCCUCUCCUGAUCCGAUUAAAAUCACCGAAGCAUACAAUUAUAAACGACCUUAUCAAAAUUAGUUUAUUACACAUAAAACUAAAUUUGUAUAUAUACAUGGAAAAUUAAAAUAUGAUCAUAAUUAAUAUGAAUCAAUCUAUUUAUCAUCAUUUAGUUUUAGGUUGAAAAUUCAUCUAAUUUAAUAAUACAAACAACCUUAUCAAAACAAGAUUGUUAUAAAAUAUAAGUAAACUUAGAUAGAGUUUUCUGAAUAUGGGUAAACGUUUUUCUUAAUAACAUGAAAAUGACUUCGUGACACUAACAGCAAAAAUAAGUCAAAUCUGGACUCGUUCCCUAUACUGUAAAAAAUACACGAAUCAGUAUGGAUAUAUACUAAGAUACAACCCUAAUAAAUACAUAUUUAUUAGUGACCCACUACGUAUGGGACCACAUCAAUCAAUAAAUAUCAAUUAUUUUUUAUUUUAUAUAUUAUUUAUCAAUAAUUUGCUAACCAAAUUAAAAACGGGUAGGUACAAUAAAAAACAUGAGGUGAGAAAGAUAGGAACGUACGAAGCCAGUCAUUCGAGGCCAAGGACCAUGAUCGAAGGCGUGACGUGCAGCGUUAACGGCCAAGUCAACGUCUUCUUUGUCUCCUGCUGCUAUUUUCGCGAUCACUUCACCGUUCCUUGGGUCUAUGGUUUCAAAGGUUUUACCUUUAAAGUUUAAACACAUUAAAACAAAAACUGAAUGAUCAAAUAUUAUGUUUCAGAAAAAGAUUAUGCCAAAUUAAAUCAACCAGUCGGUUCAAUAUUCAAUCACGAGUUUUUACAUCUUCGUUUACAUUGUUAAGAACAAUACUUUAGCAAUAAUAUUAGUAAAAAAAACUUCUAGAAAAGGUUGCACCAAAAAAAAAACUUCUAGAAAAGGAAGAAAAAUAUUAGAGAAGAAAAUUAUAAAUUUGGGCUGAGAAGAGAAAUAGUCAGGUGGGACCAUCAACCACUGGUGUUUGAUAGUAGAACAUGUUUCCAGUCAGGAUAGCUUUUGAUAUAGGUUGUCAGAAGAAAAAAUGUUUCUUCCAACAACUUAAUAGUCAUCCAAAUUAGCCACUGAACUUUUAGUUGUACAUAUUUUAGGGAUUGGUCUAGGCUCAUGAUUCGCAUCCAAUGAAACCAGAUCCGAAGGAUACCGAAACAAAACAUUGGUGUCAUCCCAAAAAUUGAAGUGUUUAACAUGCAUAUAUUACCUGGUUCUCAAAAUAUCAAAAAUAUCUGUGUGGAUUAUACGUAUCCUAAAUCAUAAUUGUUUCAAGUUUCAUAUAUUUCAGAACGAUCAAAACAUUUUCAAUCUUUUUGGGGAGACGUAAUUUGGUUAAAUGCACAGAGAAGAAUCUGAGGCAGGGAUUUAGAUAGUCAAAGCCAAAAUCAGAAAAUAGGAAGGAUCUUGAUACAUAUUUUCUUCUGUUAAUGUCAACGUUUUGGAAUUGUGAGAUUAAGUAGAUAAGUAGUGAAAUUUAAAAACCUGAAGCAGCAUCAAGAAACUGGCCGUUAAUGAAAAGCUUGGUGAAUUUGAUCUCCGGUAACUUCGCCGUCGCGCCUCCGUUGCAUUUACCGUUCUCCAUCUUUCUCCUUUUUUUCUCUCUCUCUCUCUGUUCAGAGGACAAUAGAAGGACAGAGAGGUUAUGUAUGUAUUUAUAUCCAAGCCUCCCGUUUCACACGUCAGCAAGGCAAGUGAUUCAACAAAGUUUCGGAGCAUCAAUAUCCCAAAAACCCAAAUGGAAUGCUUAUUAUUAUUAUAAUCUUUUUUUUAGUUUUUAAUUAAAAAUAAAAUAAAAACAGAACCAAUCGUAGACCGCCACGUAUCGUGAGGUCUGCAAAACAGUACAAGAUACACCCAACAAAGUUUCUUAUUCUACGACUAUAAAGCAUGGUUUUUUCAAUAAUCGUGGGCCCCACCACGUAAGAAACGCUCAGCAUACUACGAUGCAGAUGCUCUUAAGGGUGAGGUUUUUCACAAAAUAAUAGACCCCACACCUACAUACACAUAUACAAUAUAUACUUAUACACAUAUGAAUUUUUAGAAUUCCAAUGGGUAAAAGCCCAGUAGUCUAAUAUACUAAACUGAAAAAGAAGGGGGGGAGAUAAAUUUUGACUGACCUAUCGUCUUGUUGAUGCAGAUAAAUAUUUAGACAUUAUCUAGUGUUUUUUUUUUCAGCAGACAUUAUUUGCUUACAUUAUUAUUAAGAAUACCAAUGUAAUUCUACUUAAGACUUAUUUAUUAUUACAACCAAUAUUUUUAAAUUCGAUCCGGACACUGAACCGGAUAAUUUUAUGGGUCACCAGGUUAUUGAAUCGAUCGCCGGCAAACCGGGGUGUAAUAAACUGAGAAGGGGGGGGGGAGGUGUAAUAAAUUUUUACCGAGCUAUCGUCUUGUUGAUUCAGGUAAAUAUUUGGACAUUAUCUAGUGUUUUUUUUUUCCAGCAGACAUUAUCUGCUUACAUUAUUAUUAAGAAUACCAAUUUCAUUCUAAUUAAGACUUAUUUAUUAUUACAACCAAUAUUUUUAAACUCGACCCGGACACUGAACCGGAUAAUUUUAUGGGUCACUAGGUUAUUGGAUCGAUUGCUGGCAAACCAGGAAUUAAUUAAUUAAUUAAUUUUUAUAUAAUAAUAUAUUAGCGAUUAAAAAUAUAAUAUAUACUUUAUGUAUCAAACAAAGUUUACAAACUACUUAACUUUAAUUUAUUUUUUUUCAAUUUUAUUUGAUAUAAAAAUAUCAGAAAAUAAUUUAGACUAAGUAACAAUUUUUGUAACAAGUUAAGAGUUAUGGAAUUUGAUAAAAAUAUGAAGACUUAAAAUUCAUAAGUAUUUAAAACAUGAGUGAUAAAAUUAUACUUUAAAUCCAAAAUAAACCAAAAGUAAAACAUCAAAUUGUAAUAGAUUAUUGAUAACAAAAAUAAACUAAUACCAAAUUACAUGAACUAUUUUAUUUCUCUCUCUAUCAUUGUUAACUUCAUUUUCUUCAAGUGACAUAGUUAAAUGUUCAUUAAAAUCUAAAAAUCACAAAUAAAUAGUUUAAUUAGUAUUAUAUAUGAUAAAAACUAAAAACUUAAAUUCUUAAUUAGAAUACAAAACAGAUUCUAGUAACCUAAAUUAAAAAAAAUCUAAGAAUAUAAAGUAAAAAUUACCUACUAAUUCAACCACUGGUUAAAUCGGUAGUCGGAUUCCGGAUUUUAAUGGUUUUUUAUGGGUUUUAUUGGUUUUUUAUGGUUUUUUUAUAAAACUCAAACCAAAUUAUACAUCGGAUCAUCGAGUUUACCAGUUAGACCGCCGAUCCGGACCGGGUUUCAAAACACUGCUUACAACCAUUCAUGUAGGUUUUACCUCUCAUUUGCGUUUAACUGUUUAAAAAAAAUACUAGAACUAUUUUAAUUUUUUAAAGUUUCUUGAAAUCAUUUUUAAGACUCGUAUACAUAAACAUAUGUGGUUGAACAAAAAAAAAACUUAGGUGUUUCCAUGGGAGCGUCUCCAGUGAAAAAAGUAUAUCCAGUCUACACAUAAGAAUAUAAAAUAAUUAAUUUCCAUAGAUGCGUUAAAAAAAUAUGAAUCUUCUUUUAUUUUUUCAAUCAAAAUUGUCAUUGACUUUGAAUAUACUAAAUACUGAGACUCACUACAGUUCUGUAUACAUUGGUGUAAAUGUGAAAGAAAUAAAAAGAAAAUUCGAAAGUGACAGAAAAGUAAAAAUAACCUACAAUACAAUAAAAGGUGGCGGUUCUUCGGCUAAACCGGAGUUCGGUUUAGCCUGUGGGGUUGAUUCCGGGGAGUUUGUGUUUAUGAACACUAAGGUUUAUUUGGAGAAGAGUAAUGGUUUUGAUGAGAUGAUGGAUAGUCCUGGUGAUUCGGAGGAGGAUGAUGAGGAGGAGUAUGAGAGGAGGAGGAAGAAGGGGGAUGAUGCGGCGUCGUAUAAGCUUUUGGCGGAGUCGGUUGAGAGGUUUGGGAAGGUUUUUGAGAAGAUGGAGAGGAGUAAGAAGGAGCAGAUGAAGGAGUUGGAGAAGAUGAGAGGUGAGUUUCAGAGAGAUUUGGAGUUGCAGAAGAAACAGAUUGUGGAGAGAGCUCAGUCUGAGAUCGCUAGGCUACGUGAAGAAGAGGAGGAGAAUCAUCAUGAUGAUGGUGGUGGUGAGAGUGAAGAUGAGGGAAUGGAGAAUGAUUCUGAUGUCAAUCUCAGUGAUUGAAUAAUUUAAUAACUAGGUUUGUAUGUUUGUUUUAUUAGAUUCAAGAAAGAUUAUGUUUUGCAUUUUGGGUAAUUCACAACUGGUAAGUGUUUGUAACUUGUGUUUGAUGGUUACAAGUUUUAUUGAUAUGGAUUAGUAAGGAUUAUUGUAAUAGCCAUGACAAGUGUCUCAAAUCCAUGCAUUGUUUUAUUUCCUCGUCAAGACAUUUUUGGUCUGAGGAUGAAUGCUGCUUCAAGCCUCACCAAGGAGUAAGUCAUUUGGAACAGGCAAUUGAUCAUCAUCAGCUGCAACUGCAAGUGGAUUCUAAAAGUAUUGGGCCAUUUGUUUCGUGAUUUUGAUUUGUAUUUUUUUUUCAAGAAAAGUAACGGCCUGGCCAUGAUUCUAGGAGAGAAAUUUAAAGCAAUUGCAAAAGAUCUCUGGACAUCGAGGCAGCUAUGAUGUGAAUUCAGGCUGUUUAGUGGCCUAUUUCAGUAAGUAUUGUUCGAGCUUCAGUAUUCUCCACUCAUAUCUUGGUUAUGGUACAAGAUUAAUAAUUUAAAGUUAGGUACAUGUCAAAACCAUAUACCAAACCAAAUUCGUAUAGUUAUCAUUUACACAUUUAAUAGAAUCUAACGGGAACGGGAGGUGCGGAUGCUGGUGGAGUGAGAGAUAUACAUAGACAUUAGAAAUGUAGAUUUCUGAAAUAGCUAUAAGACUCCUUGACAUGCAAUUGGACACUAUAAUCAUUGUUAAACGGAGAUCCAGCUACACGUACUGAUAAAAUUUGUUGCAAAAAAAAAAAGAAGAAGCAAUUGUUGACAUCCUAAUCCGAAGAUCCUUACUGCUCGAAUAAGAUUUGCUAAAAAGGAGUGUACACGUUUGAACGAAAAAUCACUUGUACGAGACAAAUAAUAAACCUCUUUUGUUAACUAGUGUUUCAAAAAAUAACAAAACUCUUAUUGAUUUAGUAAAUGGACAAAAGAAAAACGUACUGUAAAAAAAAGAUCACACAUGCUUUUAUUAAUGAUUACGUUUGUAUUUUAACUAUGGACAAUUUGGCUACAUCCAAGGGGAGUUGUGAAGAGGCAUAGCAAUGGAUUUGACUUGAAGAUAGCUAUCGAGAGCGUCCAUGCCACUUUCACGACAAUUACCACUCAUCUUGUAGCCACCGUAAGGCGAGUCGAGGUCAAAUGCGAAGUAGCAGUUAACCCAAAUGACUCCAGCUUUGAUUGAUCUCGAAACCGUGUUGAUCACGUCAACGUUUUGGCUCACUAUUCCAGCUGCUAGACCGUAUUUCGUGUUGUUUGCGCAUUUGAUUCCUUCCUCCAUAGUCCUGUGGAAGCAAAUAUAUAUAGAGAUGUUUAGUGUUCUAUGGAAUGUGAUCAAGAAUGAGAAGAGAAAAUGGGGGAGUUUUCGUUUGCUUUACUUGAAUUUCAUCAAAGACAUAACUGGUCCAAAGAUUUCUUCUUUGUAUAUCUUCAUAUCGUCCUGUAACCAACAAAAAUAAAAACCCAUUAUUUAAAACAAACUUGUUACUAGGGACUUACGCGACAUUUCUGGUCCCGGUCCUAGUCCGAAGGAUUCAAGAAAUGUGUAAUAUUACCGUGACAUCUGCGAAUAUAGUUGGUUCGAUGUAGUAUCCUUUGUCUCCAAUAGCGUUCCCUCCAGUUAAUAACGUAGCUCCUUCGUUUUUGCCAUGCUCAAUGUAAGAGAGAACCUUCUCAUAUUGUUUUUUAUCCACCUGAAGACACCAAAAAAUAAUCAACUAAUAUAAUCUACUUAAAUCUACUCAUAAUCAAAGAUCAAUGAACUAGUCUAUUUUACUUGAGGUCCUUGUCGAGAAGUGGAAUCAAAAGGGUCACCAACGGGCCAGUCUUUAACCUUCUCCACCAUUUUCGCUACAACCUUAUCGUAUAUACCUUCUUGGACAAACACACGAGAGCUCGCCACGCAGAUCUCACCCUGCACAAUCCACCAAAUAUGUUUUACAUAACAAUGUCACAAUAUUGGUUGAUAUUUGGCCUCUAUGAUAUUAUACCUUGUUGUAGAAGCAACCUAGUAGCGCAAGUUCGGCGGCUUUGUUAACAUCUGCAUCAUCGAAAAUGAGAAGAGGCGAUUUUCCGCCUAAUUCAAGGGACACUUUUUUUAGAUUGCUUGUGGCUGCGGCUUGCAUUAUCUUCCUCCCAACAUCAGUUGAUCCCGUGAAACUAACCUGAGCACAAAAAAACAAAAGACAUGAAUUCACAUACAACUAACAAAAGCCCCAUUACUUGAUGAAUCCACAAACUAAUUAUCUCAUAAGACGAUAGUUAUUUUACUUUGUCAAUGUCCAUAUGGGAGGCAAUGGCAGCUCCAGCAGUUGAUCCAAAUCCAGUCACCACGUUGAUCACGCCAUCAGGAAAUCCCGCCUGUGAAUUUUCAACAAAAAUAAAUACAAUGUUUAGAUAGUUAAGCUUUAAUUUCUUCGAUUGCCUACACGUUUGGCAUUACUAUGAACAAGCUAUAGUUGUGUGUUUACUUUUAAAAUGAUACCAAAGCUUUUAGUGUUUUAUGUGUAUGGAUUGUUUCUUUGUUUAUGUGUAUGGAUUGUUUCUUUGUUUAUAUUUGUUUAUGUGUAUGGAUUGUUUCUUUGUUUAUGUUAUAUAGUAUUAAGAGUAAACGUAUACGUAACCACAAUAUACAAAUUACAAACAAACAAACAAACAAAGCGAUAUUUUAUAUGAUUUUAGAAAAUGUUUGUUUUAAAAAAUUAUGUAUAGAACAACCACGAUAUACAAACAAACAAAGAGAUAUUUCAUAUGAUACUAUUAUUUAGAAAAAGUUUGUUUUAAAAAAAUUAUGUAUAGAACAUACUUAAUAAAUAAAAAAUGAGAUAGAUAAACUUACUUCUUUCGAGAGAUGAGCAUAGAACAAAGCAGAGAGUGGUGUCUGCUCUGCUGGCUUGACCACCAUGGUGCAACCAGCAGCUAAAGCCGGAGCCACUUUCAUGGCAAACAUAAUGCUUGGAAAAUUCCAAGGGAUGAUGUGGCCGACCACUCCAAUAGGUUCUUUAAGUGUGUAUCCGAACAAAGACGGACGUGUCAUUCGAAGUGUCUCGCCGUGGAUUUUAUCCGCCGCACCCGCAUAGUACCGGAAAUGUCCGGCUGCAGCCGGAAUGUCAUUCAUUUUUCCCACCUGGAACAAUUUUCCGCCGUCAA